Coregonus clupeaformis (lake whitefish) is the source of this 2706-nucleotide long non-coding RNA. RefSeq lists it as uncharacterized. The transcript is spliced from 3 exons. Lineage: Eukaryota; Metazoa; Chordata; Actinopteri; Salmoniformes; Salmonidae. The record is from RefSeq and is a predicted model, not a curated record.
CCCCCUCCCAACUUCCCCCAUCUUUACAAAGCUCUGUAGGCUUCCUGCUCAUGUAACAGAGUAUCCUUGCCUGAGACCUGAAGACUUGCGUUAGCUCGCCAAGAUCAGAUAACGCCUAUAGCCUUUAGCUCAGCGGGCACACAAAGCAAGAUUCAGCCAUCAAUCAUCAUCACCAUCACCAUCAUCAUCACCAUCAUCACCAUCAUCAUCAUCAUCAUCACCAUCAUCAUCACCAUCACCACCACCAUCAUCAUCAUCAUCACUGUAGAUACAUUAAAAAAAUACCUUGACAUGAUUUCACUAUUUGACACAUUUAACGGCCUGGUAAUAUAAUCAGAUCUCUCUUUAAACAGUUACAGAAUUACCCCCCCCCCACCCCCGGUACUACUAACCCAGUACUAACUAACCCCCCAUGGUUAACUAACCUAAUACUAACUAACCCCCCUGGUUAAGUAUUAACUACAACAUCCCUGUUUGGCAGUGGUCAGAUAAGUCUUAGACAGCGUCUGAAAUGGCCCCCUAUUCCCUAUGUGGUGCACUACUUUCCACCAGGACGGGAGGGUUUAGGACGGGCCAGGGCCCUGGCCAAUAGCAGGUCACUAUAGGGCCCUGGCCAAUAGCAGGUCACUAUAGAGGGAAUGGGCCCUGGCCAAUAGCAGGUCACUAUAGAGGGAAUGGGCCCUGGCCAAUAGCAGGUCACUAUAGGGCCCUGGCCAAUAGCAGGUCACUAUAGAGGGAAUGGGCCCUGGCCAAUAGCAGGUCACUAUAGAGGGAAUGGGCCCUGGCCAAUAGCAGGUCACUAUAGAGGGAAUGGGCCCUGGCCAAUAGCAGGUCACUAUAGAGGGAAUGGGCCCUGGCCAAUAGCAGGUCACUAUAGGGCCCUGGCCAAUAGCAGGUCACUAUAGGGCCCUGGCCAAUAGCAGGUCACUAUAGAGGGAAUGGGCCCUGGCCAAUAGCAGGUCACUAUAGAGGGAAUGGGCCCUGGCCAAUAGCAGGUCACUAUAGGGCCCUGGCCAAUAGCAGGUCACUAUAGAGGGAAUGGGCCCUGGCCAAUAGCAGGUCACUAUAGAGGGAAUGGGCCCUGGCCAAUAGCAGGUCACUAUAGGGCCCUGGCCAAUAGCAGGUCACUAUAGAGGGAAUGGGCCCUGGCCAAUAGCAGGUCACUAUAGAGGGAAUGGGCCCUGGCCAAUAGCAGGUCACUAUAGGGCCCUGGCCAAUAGCAGGUCACUAUAGAGGGAAUGGGCCCUGGCCAAUAGCAGGUCACUAUAGAGGGAAUGGGCCCUGGCCAAUAGCAGGUCACUAUAGGGCCCUGGCCAAUAGCAGGUCACUAUAGAGGGAAUGGGCCCUAGCCAAUAGCAGGUCACUAUAGAGGGAAUGGGCCCUGGCCAAUAGCAGGUCACUAUAGGGCCCUGGCCAAUAGCAGGUCACUAUAGAGGGAAUGGGCCCUGGCCAAUAGCAGGUCACUAUAGAGGGAAUGGGCCCUGGCCAAUAGCAGGUCACUAUAGAGGGAAUGGGCCCUGGCCAAUAGCAGGUCACUAUAGGGCCCUGGCCAAUAGCAGGUCACUAUAGAGGGAAUGGGCCCUGGCCAAUAGCAGGUCACUAUAGAGGGAAUGGGCCCUGGCCAAUAGCAGGUCACUAUAGGGCCCUGGCCAAUAGCAGGUCACUAUAGAGGGAAUGGGCCCUGGCCAAUAGCAGGUCACUAUAGGGCCCUGGCCAAUAGCAGGUCACUAUAGAGGGAAUGGGCCCUGGCCAAUAGCAGGUCACUAUAGGGCCCUGGCCAAUAGCAGGUCACUAUAGGGCCCUGGCCAAUAGCAGGUCACUAUAGGGGGAAUGGGCCCUGGCCAAUAGCAAUGAUUUCAAAUAGCGUUUUGAACCCAGGUCUCGCAGAGCGCCGUCUAGAGAUGGGUGGGUUAGACCGGGUCGACACAGACUAUUGAGAUGAGCCCUGUGUGUCUGUAUGUUUCCAGUUGCAGUGAACGCUAUCCGAGGUGUGUGGGGUUGUUGGGUUCUGUGGCACAAAAUGGCUGCAGUGCGUCUCUGUAAUGGAGGACACUGGACCCUGAACUCUGACCCUGCUUUGGCACAGUUUCACAGUAACGUAACAUUGUGUGUGUGUGUGAGGUGAUGACAGUACCUAGGUCUAGGGGGGGGCUAUGUAUAUCCAGCAUCCCUCCUUCCCUGUAAUAACAUGAUUCUAACAUUAUCGUAACAUUACACUUUUUUUCAUAACAUUUCUAGUAUUCUUACAGUGAUUGAUAAUUCAUGGAAUGUCGAUCAGUUUGAUCAGUUGGUCAAUAUUGGUCCCCAGAUCAGUGUGGAGGUCAUUUGAUUGGUUGAGGGGGAAUGCAACCGAUUGUUUGAGCAUCGAUUAGUCAUCGGUUGAUUCAGCAUCAUAGAUUCAUACACAUGGGUCCAUCUGUUCAGUUGAGUAGAAGUUGUCUUUAACCGCUGAUAAGAGGUCAGAUCUUAUUCCAUCUCCAUAAUGGUUCAGGUUAGGACUGGGGCAGGGGAAUCUGGUCCUAGAUCAGUGGUUAUGUUUGGGUUUGAACAGUAGAUAUGGGUUAGGGACAAGCCUAUGUCCCAAUUCUCUCUCCUUCCUCCCCAAAGUAUGCGCUUUGUUACAUUUACAUGACAUUUGAGUCAUUUAGCAGACGCUCUUAUCCAGAGCGACUCACAGGAGCAAUUAGGGUUAAGUGCCUUGCUCAA